This 427-nucleotide ribosomal RNA is filed under the name uncultured bacterium. RNAcentral's name for it is "partial 16S ribosomal RNA". It matches the Rfam family "Bacterial small subunit ribosomal RNA", at positions 355 to 774 of the family's 1533-position model. The record is from RNAcentral.
UGGGGAAUAUUGGACAAUGGGCGAAAGCCUGAUCCAGCCAUGCCGCGUGUGUGAAGAAGGUCUUCGGAUUGUAAAGCACUUUAAGUUGGGAGGAAGGGUUGUAGAUUAAUACUCUGCAAUUUUGACGUUACCGACAGAAUAAGCACCGGCUAACUCUGUGCCAGCAGCCGCGGUAAUACAGAGGGUGCAAGCGUUAAUCGGAAUUACUGGGCGUAAAGCGCGCGUAGGUGGUUAGUUAAGUUGGAUGUGAAAUCCCCGGGCUCAACCUGGGAACUGCAUUCAAAACUGACUGACUAGAGUAUGGUAGAGGGUGGUGGAAUUUCCUGUGUAGCGGUGAAAUGGGUAGAUAUAGGAAGGAACACCAGUGGCGAAGGCGACCACCUGGACUGAUACUGACACUGAGGUGCGAAAGCGUGGGGAGCAAACA